UGAAAUAAACCCAAAUCCAAACCUCAAAUCAAGACCCAUCCAAGCAGCCUUAUAAAAAAAAGAAAGAAAACAGGAAGCAUGCAGGCCCGUGGAGCAAGAACAGUCUGAACCCAGUUUGGGUCUCGAUUUGAUUGCGCCGGAGCAUCAUUGGGCAAGGGAUGCGUACGGAGAGGACCUGGGCAUGGCGAAAUACAGCUCCUUCUCCGACGCCGGGCAACGCUGCUCCUCACUGCGCCGAGGACCGAGUUAGGUUCGCAUAGAACGUGUAGGCCGACGAGUUCUUCUUCCUGGCUGUCUGUCGCGGUUCGGCAGUCGGAUCUCAGUUUGGGCGCUCGACGGUGCUCCGACGGGGUGGCAGAGCGCCUCACGAUGCUGCAGCCUGCAGGUGGACCUGCUCAACCGGGCCACCGCGCCGCCUUCGACGACUACGACAGCAUCACCCACACCGUCUCGCUGAUGCACAACAACCAGUGCCGCCGCUGAUGAUGCUCCGAUGAGUCUGGGAGCAAGGUGCAGGGCGGAUUUGGCGCGGCGGCAGACGUCGGAACAGUGGAUCCAAGGAAAAGGCACUGGAAACCAGUAAAGUCUCCCCAAUGCCCAAUACCCGGUUUCUUCGAGUCUCAAUUCUUGUGAAGACUCGGUUUCGUGAGAAAGAAACCGUUUCUCUCUUUUCUAAUCUCUAUCUUCAUUGAUUCUCUUGUCACGUCAGCAAAAAUGAUGAGUUAUCAAUAUAUUCAAGAGAGAUAGAAACUACAAUUAAUAU
Panicum virgatum (switchgrass) is the source of this 763-nucleotide long non-coding RNA. RefSeq lists it as uncharacterized. The record is from RefSeq and is a predicted model, not a curated record. NCBI's taxonomy places the organism in Eukaryota, Viridiplantae, Streptophyta, Magnoliopsida, Poales, Poaceae. The transcript is spliced from 2 exons.